Molecule: ribosomal RNA, 253 nt
Filed under: uncultured bacterium
Lineage: Bacteria
Description: partial 16S ribosomal RNA
Rfam family: Bacterial small subunit ribosomal RNA
Source: RNAcentral
UACGGGGGGGGCAAGCGUUGUUCGGAAUUACUGGGCGUAAAGGGCUCGUAGGCGGCCAACUAAGUCAUACGUGAAAUCCCUCGGCUUAACCGGGGAACUGCGUCUGAUACUGCGUGGCUUGAGUGCAGGAGAGGAAUGCGGAAUUCCAGGUGUAGCGGUGAAAUGCGUAGAUAUCUGGAGGAACACCGGUGGCGAAGGCGGCAUCCUGGACCGGCAUUGACGCUGAGGCGCGAAAGCUAGGGGAGCAAACGGG